Molecule: non-coding RNA, 1251 nt
Organism: Petromyzon marinus (sea lamprey)
Lineage: Eukaryota; Metazoa; Chordata; Hyperoartia; Petromyzontiformes; Petromyzontidae
Source: RefSeq, a predicted model, not a curated record
ACACACACAGACACACACUCACAGACACACACAGACACACAGACACACACAGACACACACACACAGACACAGACACACAGACACACACACAGACACACACACACACAGACAGACACACACCUAUCAACAACCCAUCAUCAGUGCCCUUCCUCAUUACAGACCGAUUCAGACGGUGUUGGUCUCUCUGUGACCCCUUCAUAAAUCCCACAAAGUCACCCCACAAAGUCACUCCCACAAAGUCACCCCACAAAGUCACCCCACAAAGUCACUCCUACAAAGUCACCCCCACAAAGUCACCCCCACAAAGUCACCCCACAAAGUCACCCCCACAAGAUAAGAAUCCUUAAAGUCACCCCACAAAGUCACCCCCACAAAGUCACCCCACAAAGUCACCCCCACAAAGUCACCCCCACAAAGUCACCCCCACAAAGUCACCCCCACAAAGUCACCCCACAAAGUCACCCCACAAAGUCACCCCCACAAAUCACCCCACAAAGUCACCCCCACAAGAUAAGAAUCCUUAAAGUCACCCCACAAAGUCACCCCACACAGUCACCCCCACAAGAUAAGAAUCCUUAAAGUCACCCCCACAAAAGUCACCCCACAAAGUCACCCCACAAAGGCACCCCCACAAGAUAAGAAUCCUUAAAGUCACCCCACAAAGUCACCCCCACAAAGUCACCCCCACAAGAUAAGAAUCCUUAAAGUCACCCCACAAAGUCACCCCCACAAAGUCACCCCCACAAGAUAAGAAUCCUUAAAGUCACCCCACAAAGUCACCCCCACAAAGUCACCCCACAAAGUCACCCCCACAAGAUAAGAAUCCUUAAAGUCACCCCACAAAGUCACCCCACAAAGUCACCCCCACAAAGUCACCCCACAAAGUCACCCCCACAAAGUCACCCCCACAAAGUCACCCCACAAAGUCACCCCACAAAAUCACCCCCACAAAGUCACCCCACAAAGUCACCCCCACAAAAUCACCCCACAAAGUCACCCCCACAAGAUAAGAAUCCUUAAAGUCACCCCACAAAGUCACCCCACAAAGUCACCCCACAAAAUCACCCCACAAAGUCACCCCCACAAUGUCACCCCACAAAGUCACCCCACAAAGUCACCCCACAAAGUCACCCCCACAAGAUAAGAAUCCUUAAAGUCACCCCACAAAGUCACCCCCACAAAGUCACCCCACAAGAUAAGAAUCCUUAAAGUCACCCCACAAAGUCACCCCCACAAAGUCACCCCCACAAA